This 1168-nucleotide long non-coding RNA is filed under the name Callithrix jacchus (white-tufted-ear marmoset). RNAcentral's name for it is "lncRNA (ENSCJAG00000078521.1)". The record is from RNAcentral. Lineage: Eukaryota; Metazoa; Chordata; Mammalia; Primates; Cebidae.
CCCUAAACGUGCAGAUGAGCCUGGCUCAAAUCAAGCAGCAAAUCGGUACUUGUCACAAAAUUCUGAGUUGGUUAAAUCUUUGGUACCCUAAAUAUUUGAAAUGGGCUUUUCUGCUUCUGGCCUAGGGGCUGCCACAAGCUCUGCUACUUUCCCCGCCCUCCAUCAUGUGUUUUAAAUCUCUUAACACAGCCGCCGCUCCAGCUGGGGCUCUGAUGGUCUCCCAGCUGCGUCACUGCAACAGCCUCACAACAGGCUUUUGGCUCCAGUAUUGGGGAACAAACCGCAGUUUGCUCCUGCUUCCUGACACUCCUUUGAGAAGACUCCCCUCACCCCCACGUGGGGCAGAGCCCCUCGGUGCACUGGAAUCUCCCCUAGGCUGGCUCUCAGCACCAACUUCCCAUGAGCUAGAUGCAGAGACUGCCAAGACCCUAGGGGAUGGUGGAAUGACAACACUGUAGGAGCUGACUGCCAACCAGAACAUGUGUCUUGAACUGUUUUGGGAGCAAGAAAGAAGCAUCUGCUGUAUUAGCAGCAUGGUUCAUUAUGAAGCCUAUUAGUUAGAUCAUCUUGGUGUAUUCUAUCUAGAUAGGCAGAAAGCUACCUAAAGUUGUUAUUGAUGACAAAAUGGUAUAAAAUGGUGGUAAGAAUUGAUUGGCAGGGGUGAGACUGUUGGAGGAUACAGUGAUAGUUUGAGUGAGAUGGCUGAAUCCAUAGGACUGAUUAAGUGACUCCAUGCAGAGGGUGAAGAAGACGGAAAAGGUGAUGUUGACUCUAAGGUUGUGCAUAGGCGAUUGGUGGUAUCAUUCAGGAAGGAAGGGAGUCUAUCAAGAAGGGUGGAAGACAAGGAACAGGAGCAGUCAGGGAAUGGGAAAAGGGCAGCCAUGAUGUGGCUGAGGUUGAGGUGUCCAGUGGAAAAUCCAUAUGGAAAACUCUGCUUUGCAGGUGAACGUUUAUGUGUGGAGGUCGGGACAAUGGUGUUUGAGUUGAAUCCAGGUAUUGAUGAGGUAAUGACAUAUAGAUGAUAGCGGGAACAAUAAGAUCAUCAGGGAAGGCCAUGUGGGCCAGAAGCAGGCCAACAGCUGACUUUGAAGGAAAAUCAACAUUAUAAGAGCGGAGAGCCUUAAAAUACCUAGACAGGCUCAUGUGACAAAAGACCCACACAAUUUAC